AGUACUUAAUUAACUGGAUGAAGUGACUUAAUUAUAGUCACCAUGCUGUACCCCACUCUCUUCAUAAGAAAUUACUUACAGAUUGGAUCACGUGCUGUUUUGGGGUCUGAAGGCGGACUGAACUUUCCAGGUCCAGCUGCGUUUUCAGCACAUACUCUGAAGACAUAGGUGAGUCCUUCUAAUAGGCCUUCUACAUUGGUCUUCAAAGAAUUCAGAAGAUUUCUGUUGACACGAGACCAAUGUGUACUAUUAACCUCACGUUUUUCAAGCCAGUAACCCAAGAUGGGGCUUCCAUUAUCUUUUGGUUCAUUCCAUUUCACUAGCAUACUGUUGCUUGUAAUGUCUUCUACAAUGGGCUUAUCGGGUGCAUCAGGUGGUUCUGAUAAAAAAAAUGGCAUAUUUGAAUUAAUUCUCUAGUAUGACCUAAAAAUUCAAGUUUAUAAGCUAUGAUAAUGAAUAUACCCUUGCAUAUGAUAAAAGGCAAAAUGUAGAUGCUAAAAGAACCUUACCAAAUGGAUCUUUAGCUAUAAAUGGCUUUGAAACACAUGGCGGUCCAGGCCCAAACCUAUUUUCAGCUCUUACACGAAAGAGAUACUCUUUCCCUUCAAUCAGUUUUGUCACUGAAUAUUUGCAGUGUCUAAGUGUUGAAGUGACAAUAAUCCAUUCUGAGUCAGGUUUUGUCUUGUCUUUCUUUUCCAAAGUGUAGUUUAUAAUUUCACUGCCACCAUCAUCAAGGGGUGGUUCCCAUUUACAGAGGACGGAGUUCUUUCUAAUAUCUUCAAAUACAAAGUUGAUUGGUGGCCCUGGUGUAUCUAAUAUUUCAAAAGAUAGCAGUGAUUAAAAUUUUGUGUAGAAAUGGUUGCAAAGGAAAAUGUAAAUGUUAGCAUGCCCCUUUAACAUAAAUUUCUGCUUUUCCUACAUCUGUCUUUGUAUGGCUAACAAAUACCAAGGUGGGUUGAUUUUGUUUACAUAGCCAGCAGGAAAAAUGGGACUGAGGAUAACUUGCUGAAGCUAUUUCCUACUUCUUUUAUCCCCCUUCCCCACCUCCCCUGCCAAAACCCCUUUUUUAAGUUUUACUGAAACUCUUCAUAUAGACUUUCUUCCAUUGAGAAGUGUAGUUUUACCUACGUACCUAGCACACAGACAGUACAAGGAGCUUUUGCGAUACCAUGGUCAUUUUCAACUUUGAUCAUAUACAGGCCAUGGUCAGGUCGGAGAGAAUCUCGGACACGUAGCUGAGAUUCUCCCUUUUUACUGUUGUCGAUACUCAAACGUUGUGUUAGAGGCAGGACAAAUGGUUCUUCUUCUUGAACUUCACCCUUCCUCCUUCUAAUUGUGGGUGCUACUCGCUUUUUAAUUUCUUCUGGUGUAAUAACUUUUUCAUCCUUUAGCCACGUAAUAGUCGGGUAAGGUGACCCAGAAAUAGUUGCAUCAAGUUCUAUUUCAUCACCUCGUUUCACUUCUAGGCUUGUUCUCAUAAUGACUUUUGGAGCAUCUGUAAUGAUUAAAAACAAUAAUUGUUCUCAAUUCUGAUCAAAACAUUGACAAAACAUUAUUCUCCUUGAUUGUGCCGUGGGCAAACAGCAACCCCAUUAAACAAAACUUACCAAUAGGAUCUACAGCUUUGGUUGGAGGAGUGGCUCGAGAAGGUUCACUAAUACCAGCAGCAUUUUCUGCUCGCACUCUGAACUGGUAUUCCUUUCCCUCUUCGAGUCCUUUUGCUGUAUAGGUCAGGACUGGUACUAGGUGUUCAUUGCAUCUCUUCCAUGUGUCUUCACCCUUAGCAAUCUUCUCUAUGAUGUAACCCAUUAUUUUGCUCCCUCCAUCAUACAAAGGUGGCUUCCAUGUAAUAGUCAUUGCUUUAGCUGUAGGAUUAUGGACCUCAACAUCUACAGGUGGAUCAGGGGGUUCUGAACAAUAAGGAAAAAAAUGGUUAAUAUGUACCCAUGCACAAACCCAUCUUUUUUUAAGUAAAAAAUUGCAUAUUAAUUCCUAGCUAUAUUACAUCCAUGCCCCAACUUACGCUUUGGAUCUUGAGCAAUGACCGGAUUUUUCAGUUCAAUAUAUUCGCCUCCACCAAUCUUGUUGACAGCUUUAACACGGAAGAAGUAUUCACCAUUUGGUAUGAGAUCUUUUACAGUCCAAGACAGCUUGUUCUCACCAGACAUGACUGGUAUGUAUGUCCUUCUCCCAGCCUCUCUGCGUUCCAGGACAUAAUGAAGGAUUGGGCUUCCACCAUCAUAUUCUGGAGGUUCCCAAGUUAAUUUACAAGAACUCUUGGUCACGUCACUUGCUUUAAUAUCUUUGCAUGGUCCAGGUAGGCCUAUCAGAAAUAAAGUGAUAAUUAUUAUUGUAAUCUGAAAAGUCAGCAUGUUAAAAGUACACUCUUUCUUUCUCUGAGACUAUCCACCUGUUGGGUGGGAUAAUCUUUGAUGUGCUGGAAUGCCCCUCUGCCGCCUUAUGCUGAAGGCUAUUUAGCGUCAUUGGCCCCAAUUACUAAACAUAUGUAACUCCUCCGAGUUUUUGUUCUAAGUAAAAAUCACCCCCACCCAAUUUUUAAACAUCAUCUGUGUGGGAGGGGGCAGAAAGUAUUACUAAUCCUGGUGAGUACACUAUGGAAAAAUGCAAAUACAAUUAAUAAAUGAAUAUUGGCAAUUUAAACAUUCUUUGGGUACGCUGUAUCUUUUAUUUAGUACUUCACAUGCCAAUAAUUACAACAGAAGUAAAUUAGUUUAAUCAGAGUUUAACUAGCAAUUUCAUUUCUAUAAUUACUUGUCUUCCAGAUGAUUUCUUUCCAUAUGAGAAGCAAUUUAGUUUACAAAUAGCCAACUCAUGAAGCCCUUUAUACUAACACUACAAAGUUAACUAAUUUUCCCAAUGUGUGAAGAAUAAUAUCUUGUAUUUCAUCAAAGACUGAUUACCUAUGACUUUGACAUUGAUUGAGGCAGUUGCUGAGCCAAGCUUAUUCUCUAGCGUAAUGGUAUAAACUCCAGCAUCUGCAUGGACACUCUUGGGAACUUCGAGGUGUGCAGAGAUAUGAUCAUUCUUCAUUGUUAAUCUGUCACUUGCUUUAACUUCUUUGCCAUCCUUAUGCCAACUAACAGUUGGAACUGGGACAGCUCUGAAGGGAACAGGAAUUCUUAACUUUUCACCUUCAAUAACAACAAUGUCAUGAGUCUCCAUAUCAAUUGUUGGCUUGCCUGUAAGAUAUCCAAAAAGGAAAAAAAAGAUAUGUCAAAAUGCAAUGUAUGAUAAGCAAAGUCUGUUUUAUUAAUUGAAAGAAACUGUGUCCUUACAGUCUGGGUCUUUGGCAACCACAUUUUCAGAGAUUUCAGAUGGCUCACUGACACCAACAGCAUUGACAGCUCUCACUCUCAGAACAUACUCCUUGUCAGGAACAACACCUUCUUCAACUUUGAAUUUCAAGUCUUUAAUUGGGCGAGAAUUAACUCGCAUCCAUUUCUCAGUGCCUACCGGACACAUUUCAACAUGAUAUCCUAUAAUAGGACUUCCACCAUUUUUCUCUGGAGGCUUCCAGGCAAUGGCGAUGUGCUUUCUCCCAGCAUCAGUCACAUGCAAAUCAAGGGGAGGUGAAGGAGGACCUGAAAAAAGAGUGAAACAUUCACAUCCACAAUCUCAUCAUCAAGCUCUAGAUGAUAUCCUUUGUUUAAUUGACACUACUUACUUGUUGGAUCUUCAAUUGACAGGAUUUCUGUGGGUUCGCUUGGGUGACCAACUCCAGCUUCAUUUUCUGCCCGAACCUGAAACUGGACCUCUGUUCCUUCAAUGACAUCAGUUACUCUGAAGUUACAGUCAGGUCCUGAGGUCUUUCCAGCUUUCACCCAACGGGUACCUAACUUUUCUUUCUUCUCAAUAAUAUAUCUAUUGAAAUAAAGCAGUUCAUUAGUAUUAAUAGAGAAAAUACAGUUAAGAAUUUUCAGCUGAGUAUAAACUAUCCUUUGUAAAUUAAUUAAAAUUCUACCUUUGUAUUGGUCUUCCACCAUCAUUUUUAGGUGGUUCCCACUUCAGGUCAACAUGUCGCUUGGUCACAUCAACCACUGUCAGAGCAUAGGGUGGUCCAGGGGUGGCUGGAAGCAAAACAUUCAAUAGUUAGAAAAACCAGAGGGAAAAAUGAUAAUCCAGUACGAACAGUGUCACAAAUAUUAAGUUAGCAUACUAAAGGUGUCUUUGGCCAGGACAGAGUCCUCAACUUCACAGUAGUCACUUUGUCCUAUGGCAUUUUCUGCAGCAACUCGGAACACAUAUAAAGAGCCCUCUGUCAGUGGGGUUACUGUGCACUUGGUGUCCUUGACAGUUGUGUCCACUGUUUGCCAGCCUUUUCGCCUCACAUCUCUCUUUUCCACGAUAUAGUUGGUGAUGGGGGACCCUCCAUCUUUCUCAGGAACUGUCCACUUGAGGUCUGCUGUAUUUUUUGUGAUAUUAAUAACUUCAAGCCAGCGAGGUGGUGAUGGAGGAUCUAAAGAAGAAAAAAAGAAAAAUUCAAUUUUUUUAUUGUCCAAUACUCAGUCUUCACUGAAUUCUCUAGCAGUCACUAGGAAGUCACAUAGCAAUGAUGAAGCAAUCUAGUUAUGAGUUUUUCAUAUUUUCUCAUACUGUAGUUCUCAGACCUAUGUUAGAGGAAUUUAUAUACACUAAACAUCAAGAGUGACUUACAUAGCUUUUCCCUGCAGAGCACAGGGUCACUGGGUUCGCUGGGCUCACUUUCCCCAGCCUUGUUCACAGCUCUAACUCGGAAUGAGUAUUCCUGCCCUUCCAUGAGACCUUUGAGAAAAUGCUGAGUGGUGGGAACACCUUCAGCCACUCGGACCCAGUCCUCCGUUCCAGUCUUUAGCAUUUCAAUGACAUAAGACUCAAUCUUUGCCCCUCCAUCAUGUUCUGGCUUUGUCCAAUUCAACAUCAAUGAUGUUUUGCCUACAUCUUUCACAGUUGGUUUUCCAGGAGGCCAUGGAGGAUCUGCAAACCAAUGAAAUGAAACCAUGAUUUAGGUUUGUCAAAAAAGGAGUUAAUAUAAGCUUCAAAAUAACCACAUAAAAAUAUAUAAACAAUACCUAUUGGAUCCUUUAUUAAGAUUGGUUCAGUUGAUCUGCUUGGUUUUCCAGGUCCGGCAAGAUUUUCAGCCAACACACGGAAUCUGUAUUUUUUCUUAUUGGUGAGACCUUUCACUCUGAAUUAGGGACAAAGUAUGAGUUGAAUACCAUGAUAAGCAGAAGCCUCUAUGUAUUUUACAUGGAAGGAACUAAUGUAUUUAAAUUGUGAAAAACUGAUUUGGAAAUUUAACUGAAAAUAUUUCAAUAUAAUUUUAAAAUUGCCUUUUAACUUUAGAUUUGAUUGAAUGUACUAAUGUAAUUCUAAUAUCUAUAAAAAAUCAUGACCAUAAUAUACUGGAAGACCAAACACUUUGAAACUCACAGGAAGUUAGUAUUUUAUAGUAGGAAAUUAAGAAAUGUGCCCUUGAAUGGAAUUUAUAUCAUUUUUUAGAUCAUGUGGUAAUACAAAAUAUAAGUAAAAAUAAUUUAAAAUGUUAUGGUUAAUAUAUAAGAAUUUGUAAUCAAAAUGAAUGCUUGAGAAUUAAAAAUUGUGUAUACUGCUGUCUUAACACCUUGGUGGAGAUACUGGACAUACCUAUAUGUUGUGUCCUUUACUGGCAUUUUAUUGCAUCUAACCCAUUUAUCAGUAUCAGGAUCUAAUCUUUCAACCCAGUAUCCAGUGAUUGGGCUUCCUCCAUCAUCGUCUGGCUCACACCAUGUGAGAGUAACUGCAUCCUUAGUGAUAUCAGAAGGUUCUAGGCGAGUUGGAGGUCCAGGUGGAUCUAUAGGUAGGAUAAUGAUGUGUUAUAUGCCCUAUAUAUAAAUAUGACACCCAAAUCCAAGUUUGACACAAGUAUCUUUUUAAAAAUUUUUGGCCAACUUAUUAAAGAGAAACUUACCAAAUGGAUAUUUAGCUGUUACUGGAGUAGCCUGAACUGGUUCACCAACACCAUACAUGUUUUCUGCAGCAACUCUGAAGAUGUAUUCUUUAUUGGGUGUUAAUUUGGUUGCCUUGUAGUUUGUAUCCUUGACAGUUGAUGAGAGCUUGUGCCACACUUCACUGUCAGUUGCUCUUCUCUCCACGACAUAGUUUGUGAUUUUAGAUCCACCAUCAUCUCGUGGGGGGUUCCAUGUUAGAAGACAUGACUCAUUGGUCACUUCUGUGAUGUCAAAAGCAGCUGGUGGUCCAGGUUUGUCUGUGGAUGACAUUAUACACUCAGGAAAAAAAUCAUUUAAAAAAUCAUGUUUUAUUUUUAAAAGUAACUGAAAUGAGUCUGCCCAUUUUUUAAAUGAUGGCCUCUCUUACCUAAGACGUUCACUUCUACCACAGCAGUGGCCCGACCACAGACGUUGACAGCCUCGAUGAUGUAUGUGCCAGUGUCACUUCUCUUACUAUCAAUGAUGGUCACUGUGGAUUUUUUAGGAACAUUUUCAAUGGUGAUUCUUUUGUCCUGCUUCAGAAGCAUAUCGGCUUUUGUCCAAGUUAUUUUAGGUUCAGGUUUUCCAGUUACAGUGGCAGGAAGUUCAAUUUUAGUUCCUGCUUUUACAGUGAGACCAGCAAGGAGCUUCACAUCAAGGAAAAUUUCUGGAGCCUCUGAAAUUGGAAAAGAUGAUUUAUAAUGUUAGCAAGCUCAAACAAAAUUAAAAGCAGAGGCCUGGUUAAUAAUACAAAAACCAAAAAUAAAUACCCUGUGUAUCCACAGCCUGGAUUUCAUCUGUGGGUUUGCUUGGUUUGCUAGCACCUUGCCUGUUCAGGGCCUUCACACGGUAGGCAUACCAUUUGCCUUCUUCAAGACCUGUUACUUCCAUUCUAUCAGAAAAUAAAAUGGUUUAUUUUACUAUAAUGCACACAACCUGUUUUAUAUGAUCUUUCUAAAAUUCAUACCUUCUCUUGGUAUAACACUUUUUAUUCCUUAAAUUAAUUCUGGAUUGCUUCAGUAUUAUAACUAAUGAACACCUUGGAUAGGGGAUAAGUUCAGUAGCACUCUUUAAAGUUGGAUAAGCACACCAGAGGAAUUAUCAAUGAAAAAAAUUAAUAGAUUUUCUAAAAGAAAAACACUAAUUUUAGUAAGAUGAAACAUUUACUCUUGUGUCAAAUAAUUAUAAAAAUCUACUCUGUGCACUUGUUGGAAUGAGCACUGGGUGUUGUAUGUAAGCCAAUUUGACAACAGAUUAUAUUAAAAACAAACAAAAACCCUACUUUGUGUCUGCAACUGGUUCCCCACAGGCAACCCAUCGAUCCGAACCACGUGGACAUUUUUCAACUAUAUAUCCUUUGAUGCGUGAACCACCAUCAUAUUUAGGUGGAUCCCAUGUUAGGAAGAUGCUGUUGGCUGUUCUAUCUCUCCAUUUAACGUUCUCUGGUGGGUCAGGUACCGCUAUAAACAUUUUAAAGAGAGUCAGUGUUAGAUAGGCCAUCUAUGAAAUCUCCAUAUUGCCUGCCCCUGCCUUUCCCCCAUAAAUUCGACUCCUGGUCUCAAAGCAAAAAAGGUAACAAGAGGCUCCAUAAGCAACCAUCAAGAAUGUACUCACUUGCAGGAGCUGACAUAUUUACAGGUUCAUCAACAUAAGCAGGCUCUCCUGGGCCACACUUGUUACGAGCACAGACUUUAAAUAAAUAUUCUUUCCCUUGAACAAGAUCAGGAACUGUGAAUUCUAGGUCAGGCACAAAGUCCAUAACCUGGGACAAAGAAAUAUAAUUACUCAUUUCUCAAAAGCCUGAGUCAAAGAUUUUUAUGACAAGCAGUGAUACAAAUGGAAAAUUUUUUUAAUGGUAAGGGUUAUUAAUUUUACACUAGGGAAAAAUUUGCAGAGUAAGACACAUAAUAUUUGAACCUUAUAUUAAGGUGAGACUUUCAUAACUUAUACACAUUAAAAAGGUGUCAAAUAAGGUAUUGGUUCUUUCCACCAGCUUGGUUAUUAGAAAUAUGCUUUUAAAUCAAGGUAAAAACCAAUAAUGAGAAAUGAAUAAAUAACAGUAAUAAACUGAAGAGAAAACAAAUGGUAGAUUGGGCCAACUAAGAUAAUCUAGUGGAGUGAGAAGUUUGAUGACCAGGGAGUUAAAUACUUAGUGUCCUUAGAAUGGCUGAUCGUUUCAUAGGGCACACUGGAUACUCAUCAGGUACCAAGUGAAUAGGUGAUUUUAUUUUUUAGCAAACAGUAGAAAAUUUGGUAAGGCACAAAAUAAGGUAGUUAUACCAAAUCUUGGUUGAACUACCUCAAGAAGCAUUAGCAUCAAGGCAUUUAAGAGAAGUUUUUGGGUCUUUUUCAGCAAGGUAAAUUUAAACCAUGUAAACUGUGCAUGGCAUCCCAGCAUUCUGGGAUUCCCCCCACUCUUUUUUCUGGAGUUAGUACAUUGCUGCUCAAAACUCACUUUAGUCCAUGUUUUCCGGCUGACUUCUCGCUUUUCAACAACAUAUCCAGUUAAUGGACUCCCUCCAUCAUCAUCUGGUGGUUCCCAAGUCAAAUGUACUGAGUCCUUGGUUAUGUCACCAAAUUUCAGUUCUUUGGGUGCACUUGGGCGAGCUGAAAAAAAGGUAGUCCAAAAUCAAUAUCGGUAAUAGAUUGAACCAAUAUUUGUUAAUACUGUCAAAUCACCAUAUGUAACAAAAGUUUAGUUCCUUACCAAUCACAUUGACGUCAAUUUCCCCAGAAAUUGCUUUUACGGGAUUUUCUAAUUUCAGUGUAUAAAUGCCCUUGUCUGGACGUUCACUUGGAGAAAUGACAAGUUCAGCAUAGGCAGAUAAGGUUUUCAUUUUCACACGGUCCCCUGCUUCUAGUACUUUAUCUCCAAAAGACCAGGUUGCAGUUGGCCUUGGAUAGCCUGUACUUGGAACCAGGAUCUUGAUAGGAUUUGGGACAAUAACUUCUAGACCAUCUUUAAAUGCACUUAAGUCCAUUGUUGGUUCAGCUACCAAAAAGAAAAAUUAAUGAGUCUCCAGCACUAUAUUUAAGGCUAUUAAGCUAUAUUAAGCUAUUAAGCUAUAUUAAGCUAUUAAAUCUAAAAAUAAAAUAUCCACUUACCAAAUGCAUCAUCAGCAGUUAGAGGACCAAGAAUUUCAGAUGGAUCUGAAACACCAGCUUCAUUUUCUGCAGAUACUCGAUAUAAAUAUUUAUUUCCUUUUUGUAAUCCAGUAACCUAAAGUAUGAAUCAAUAGUUGUAAGAAAAAUACACACACACACACACACACACACACACAUUUAAGUCCAUGAUCAUACAUUGAAUAUUUUUUUAGAUAUAAGCUCCCUACCUUGUAAGUCAGUUCAGGGACAAGUUUCAUAUUGCAACGAAUCCAAUUAUCUUUUCCUUCUUCACAUCGCUCAAUUAUAUAACCCAAUAUUGGACUUCCUCCAUCUUUCAGAGGAGGUUCCCAUGUGAGCUGAACUGAUGACUGAGUCUGAUCUGAGGAUUUUAGGUUCACAGGAGGACUUGGUCUCUCUGGAAUGGAAGAAAGAGUUGGAACAUACCAUUGAAUUCAGUAACAGUUUAUUAAGAUAACGUGUAAUCAUUGCUAUCAUCUGCAUUAAAAUAGCAGGUUUACUGAAUUCACUGAGUAAAAGUAGGCACAGCCUGGAUUUCUAUGAUUUUGCUGACAUCUUUCUGAUGUUCUAUCUUUUCAUUAACUCCAAUUUAUUUUAAUUAAUAGACUUAAUUUAUGGAUUUCAUGAAGUAAUUAUUUCCUUGUUUUGAUGAGCUUACCAAUUGGAUCAGCAACUUUGACAAAAGGUGUGGCUGCACUUGGUUUUCCAACUCCAAUGCGGUUUUGGGCUCUGACCCGGAAACUAUACUCCUGUCCUUCUACCACAUCAGUGACAGUUGCAGAUAGAUCUUCAGCUCUUACUGUCAUGGCAGUGUCCCAUCUGAUAGAAGUCUUGUCUCUCAAUUCAAUAACGUAGUUUGUGAUCACAGCUCCUCCAUCAUACUCUGGCGGUUCCCAUGUCAGUGAAACCCCAAAUCUAUUUAUGUCAGUGAUGGUUACAUUCAAAGGAGGGCCUGGAACAUCUGGAUUUCAUCAAAGAAGAAAACAUAGGUUCCGGGUUAAAUCAGAGAUAAAAGCAAAGAUAAGCUAGUUUGCAAUUUACUUAAAAACUUCUUACCAUAUUUACUCCUUGCUUCUACAGGAUUGUCAGUUUCUACUGGUUCACCAGUGCCAACUCUGUUUCUUGCACUGACACGGAACAGGUACUCAACUCCGCCUUUCUGUAGUCCAGUGACAGUGAACUCACAACUAUCUGCACGGUCAGUGGCCAGAACCCAGGUCUUUCUUUUGAUGUCACGUCUUUCAACAACAUAACCUAUGAUUUUGCUUCCGCCAUCAGUUAAUGGUUCUUCCCAACCAAGGCUUACUUCACCAUCAAAUGUUUCUGUCACUUCUAAGUUGCGAACUGGCCCUGGAACAUCUGAAAUGCACAUAUACAAUUUUUUUUAGUGUGUUGUCAUGCUUUUAAUUGUGCUUUGCCAAUCAAGUCCCAAGUGAUUCAAGGGCUUACCAAUAACUUUUAAAUUGAUGAAUGCUUCUGCUUUUCCAUGUUUGUUCUGAAGCACAAUUUUAUACCUUCCUUUGUCUCCUUUCUUAGCUUCUAAAAUUCUGAAAGAAGUUUGUUCAGCUGUAGUAUCAACAGUUUUUGAAGACAGAGCUUCAUUUUCUUUAAACCACUCGGCUUCUGCUUUAGGGUAGGCAUCAUAGGGCACCACCAUUGUCAGAGGCUGGCCAACAUCAACCACAAGAUCUUGAUCGCCUGUCUUGAUUUUAGGUGCAGCUGGUGAGAAAAAUAACACGUGAAUGCUUUUGACUUAUAUGUUUUAGUCCAGUUAUACCAUAGCUUCUUUACUAUGCAUUUGUUAGCAAAUAUCAGUGAUACAACCUUGGAAAUAUAUCACAGUAACUUUCUAGCACAGAACACUGACUGACUUAGAGUUCUCAUGGCUUAUUUUGCAAAUUGUCAGACUUGAGAACAGAGGAUUAAGGAUGAUUUUUAUAUCAUCCAUAAAAUCUCCAUUCUUUGCCAAAAUUAAUAAUGGAGAACUAAACAUAGUACAAAACAUGUUUGUUUUUGUGAAGUGGGCCUGUCAUACUUAGGGAUAAACCAGACAAACUACCUAGGUACAAGAGGAACACUAAAGGCUUUUUCAUAAUGUCAACCAAUAAGGAUGCCUUGGAAGCUUGAAUCAGGAUGAGAACAGACCUAAGAGGCUCCAUGGGGUUUGGAAAAUAGAAGAAACCUGAGUUUGCCCUAAGUCUAGGUUUUUGGGGAUGACUUUCAAGGCACUAUGUCAAUUCUAGGUACUAAUGAACAGCCACCAUGUGCCAGGAACUGUUCAAGGUUCUGGCAAGUAAAGAAAAAUGCUAUCAAUUACCUCUUACUCAGGACACCCUUGUGGUAAGAGAAAUUAGAAUAGUCACAUGUGGGUGGAGCCUAACAGAAAUUAAAGGCUUUCACAGGCAUUACCUCAUUAAUUGCAAAAUCUGAAACUUACAAUGCAUCUGUGAUAUUGUGAGGAUAUUUGAAAAUAAAAGAAAGGCAUUUACCUGCCAGUUCAAGCUUAGCUCUGGCUUCUUUGUCUUUGGCAAUAAAUCUGUAUUCACCCUGGUCACGAGGUUGAAUAUUACAAAUCUGUAACCUGUGUAUCUUUCCUUCACUCAUCAUCUGAUGUUUGUCACCCUGAACAACAACCAUGUUAUUUCUUAGCCACUGGACUUCCACCUUAUCUUUGUUGAGCUCAGCCAAAAAGACAACAUCAGCACCAGGGGCUUCAAGAAUAUCUUGGGGAGGCCUGAUGAUCUCAACAGGGAUUUCUGAAAAAAAUGCAAAAUGAAUACAAACAUGUUCAUAUUUGGGUUCACAACCUUUAAAAACUGGUGCUAAUAUUAAAAUUGUCCUUUCACUCAGUGUGUACCUUCCACAAAAAGUCUAGCUCGAGAUUUUCUGUCUUCCACUCCACAAGCAUAUUCACAUUCAUCAUCCAGCCUGCAAUCUUUGAUAAUGAGUCGGUGUAUACUUCCAUCUUUUUCAAAUUUGUAUCUAAGAGAAGAGAUUGAAUUAUUGGUUAGCUUGCAUAAUGAUCACUAAAUUGUCAAAUGUGUAAUAGUUACAGAAAUAGAGAUUAAGAAGCUUCCACUUACUU
This 12174-nucleotide long non-coding RNA is filed under the name Lynx pardinus (Iberian lynx). The record is from RNAcentral. Lineage: Eukaryota; Metazoa; Chordata; Mammalia; Carnivora; Felidae.